RNAcentral lists this transfer RNA (63 nucleotides) under Prismognathus prossi. RNAcentral's name for it is "tRNA-His". The record is from RNAcentral. Lineage: Eukaryota; Metazoa; Arthropoda; Insecta; Coleoptera; Lucanidae.
AUUUAUGUAGUUUAUAAAAAAAUUUUGAUUUGUGGAGUCAGGGAAGUUAUUUAACCAUAGAUA